This 511-nucleotide ribosomal RNA is filed under the name Candida albicans. RNAcentral describes it as "eukaryotic LSU rRNA". The stretch from base 144 to 297 matches the Rfam family "5.8S ribosomal RNA". Lineage: Eukaryota; Fungi; Ascomycota; Pichiomycetes; Serinales; Debaryomycetaceae. The record is from RNAcentral.
GUGGCUCUGACUGCUUAUUGCACCACAUGUGUUUUUCUUUGAAACAAACUUGCUUUGGCGGUGGGCCCAGCCUGCCGCCAGAGGUCUAAACUUACAACCAAUUUUUUAUCAACUUGUCACACCAGAUUAUUACUAAUAGUCAAAACUUUCAACAACGGAUCUCUUGGUUCUCGCAUCGAUGAAGAACGCAGCGAAAUGCGAUACGUAAUAUGAAUUGCAGAUAUUCGUGAAUCAUCGAAUCUUUGAACGCACAUUGCGCCCUCUGGUAUUCCGGAGGGCAUGCCUGUUUGAGCGUCGUUUCUCCCUCAAACCGCUGGGUUUGGUGUUGAGCAAUACGACUUGGGUUUGCUUGAAAGACGGUAGUGGUAAGGCGGGAUCGCUUUGACAAUGGCUUAGGUCUAACCAAAAACAUUGUUUGCGGCGGUAACGUCCACCACGUAUAUCUUCAAACUUUGACCUCAAAUCAGGUAGGACUACCCGCUGAACUUAAGCAUAUCAAAAGCCGGAGGAA